This 238-nucleotide ribosomal RNA is filed under the name uncultured bacterium. RNAcentral describes it as "partial 16S ribosomal RNA". It matches the Rfam family "Bacterial small subunit ribosomal RNA", at positions 96 to 334 of the family's 1533-position model. The record is from RNAcentral.
CGGCGGACGGGUGAGUAACGCGUGGGUAACCUGCCUCAUACAGGGGGAUAACAGUUGGAAACGGCUGCUAAUACCGCAUAAGCGCACAGUACCGCAUGGUACGGUGUGAAAAACUCCGGUGGUAUGAGAUGGACCCGCGUCUGAUUAGGUAGUUGGUGGGGUAACGGCCUACCAAGCCGACGAUCAGUAGCCGACCUGAGAGGGUGACCGGCCACAUUGGGACUGAGACACGGCCCAA